AUUGAACGCUGGCGGAAUGCUUUACACAUGCAAGUCGAACGGCAGCACGGGUGCUUGCACCUGGUGGCGAGUGGCGAACGGGUGAGUAAUACAUCGGAACGUACCCAGUCGUGGGGGAUAACGUAGCGAAAGUUACGCUAAUACCGCAUACGUCCUGAGGGAGAAAGCGGGGGACCGUAAGGCCUCGCGCGCUUGGAGCGGCCGAUGGCGGAUUAGCUAGUUGGUGGGGUAAAGGCCUACCAAGGCGACGAUCCGUAGCGGGUCUGAGAGGACGGCCCGCCACACUGGAACUGAGACACGGUCCAGACUCCUACGGGAGGCAGCAGUGGGGAAUUUUGGACAAUGGGCGAAAGCCUGAUCCAGCCAUUCCGCGUGAGUGAAGAAGGCCUUCGGGUUGUAAAGCACUUUCGGCAGGGAAGAAACGGCUUGGGAUAAUACCCCGGGCUAAUGACGGUACCUGAAGAAGAAGCACCGGCUAACUACGUGCCAGCAGCCGCCGUAA
This 502-nucleotide ribosomal RNA is filed under the name uncultured bacterium. Its description in RNAcentral is "partial 16S ribosomal RNA". It matches the Rfam family "Bacterial small subunit ribosomal RNA", at positions 29 to 523 of the family's 1533-position model. The record is from RNAcentral.